CCCAAAGAGAUCGGGAUAACACCUGGAAACAGAUGCUAAUACCGGAUAACAACAGAUGAUGCCUAUCAACUGUUUAAAAAGAGUGGUUCUGCUAUCACUCUUGGAUGGACCUGCGGUGCAUUAGCUAGUUGGGUAGGGGUAAACGGGCCUACCAAGGCGAUGAUGCAUAGCCGAGUUGAGAGACUGAUCGGCCACAUUGGGACUGAGACACGGCCCAAACUCCGUACGGGAGGCAGCAGUAGGGAAUCUUCCACAAUGGACGCAAGUCUGAUGGAGCAACGCCGCGUGAGUGAAGAAGGGUUUCGGCUCGUAAAGCUCUGUUGUUGGUGAAGAAGGACAGGGGGUAGUAACUGACCUUUGUUUGACGGUAAUCAAUUAGAAAGUCACGGCUAACUACGUGCCAGCAGCCGCGGUAAAU
RNAcentral lists this ribosomal RNA (418 nucleotides) under uncultured Lactobacillus sp. RNAcentral's name for it is "bacterial SSU rRNA". It matches the Rfam family "Bacterial small subunit ribosomal RNA", at positions 128 to 525 of the family's 1533-position model. Lineage: Bacteria; Bacillati; Bacillota; Bacilli; Lactobacillales; Lactobacillaceae. The record is from RNAcentral.